AAAUAGAACUUUGCAGAGAGAGUUAACAGGGCGUGAAACCGUUAAUUGGCAAACGAAUCGGAGCCACGAAGUCGUUUCGUUGAUAGUUUGACUGAGUUCAGUGUUUAUGGGGUUGCACAAACCUCGUAAGCGUGUACUCUCGAGUUGAACCAUCUUUGUAAGCGUACACUGCAACCAGUUAGACGAUUGGCAAUGGGCCCAGUGUGAGAGGUAGUAAAUUGGCCUUGCGAAUACAAGUGUCCGAUUUGCUGGCUCACAGUAAGUGAGCUAUUGUCAAAUACUGACUGGCGAAAUGAAAAUCACCUUCGUACGAAGUGUGUUGUAUAGACAAGGCGCUAGCGGCGCGCAUUGUUACGCAGUUGGCGCGUAAGUUUUUAAAGUUCAGUACUUUUGAAUUUAGACUUGCAUGCUAUCAACGGGGCAACUCUUGGUGCAUGUAUAGCUUCUAUCUAAUCGGGUAUUGACUUGGCUUGCGUGAAAGUCAGCUGUGAAUCGAUUGACGGUGCGCGUUAGAUUAGUUGCAAUUUGAAUUGGCAGUGAGUAGGUCGGCUUUCCGAACGACCCGUCUUGAAACACGGACCAAGGAGUCUAGUUAGGCAUCGAGUCGAUCGGUCUUGAAUAGGCCAGCUUUUGAGCGCAGUGCUGAUCGAAGGCGUAGAGAAAUCAUGUGAUCUGUGGCAAUACCCCUGCUGCGAGCGCAACAUGUGCCUGCUCGUGUGCCAUUGUUGCAACGUUAAUGUUGAUUUAAUUGGCUGGGCGGAGUAAAGAGAUGCUUGACUGGUACCCGAAAGAUGGUGAUGCUUGGGCAAAUUGAAGCCAGAGGAAACUCUGGUGGAGGAUUUAGAUUCUGACGUGCAAAUCGAUCGUCAGACCUGAGUAUAGGGGCGAAAGACUAAUCGAACCAUC
Molecule: ribosomal RNA, 906 nt
Filed under: Nothopoda sp. FJ16
Lineage: Eukaryota; Metazoa; Arthropoda; Arachnida; Trombidiformes; Eriophyidae
Description: partial large subunit ribosomal RNA
Rfam family: Eukaryotic large subunit ribosomal RNA
Source: RNAcentral